RNAcentral lists this ribosomal RNA (492 nucleotides) under uncultured bacterium. RNAcentral describes it as "partial 16S ribosomal RNA". It matches the Rfam family "Bacterial small subunit ribosomal RNA", at positions 29 to 507 of the family's 1533-position model. The record is from RNAcentral.
AGUGAACGCUGGCGGUAGGCCUAACACAUGCAAGUCGAACGGAAGCACAGUAAGAGCUUGCUCUUACGGGUGGCGAGUGGCGGAUGGGUGAGGAAUACAUCGGAAUCUACUUUUUCGUGGGGGAUAACGUAGGGAAACUUACGCUACUACAGCAUACGAUCUACGGGUGAAAGCAGGGGAUCUUCGGACCUUGCGCGAUUGAAUGAGCCGAUGUCGGAUUAGCUAGGUGGCGGGGUAAAGGCCCAACAAGGCGACGAACCGUAGCUGGUCUGAGAGGAUGAUCAGCCACACUUGAACUGGGACACGGUCCAGACUCCUACGGGAGGGAGGAGGGAGGAAAUUUGGACAAUGGGGGGAAACCUGGUCCAGCCAUACCGGGUGGGGGAAGAAAGCCUUCGGGUUGUAAAGCCCUUGUGAUGGGAAAGAAAAGCAGCAGGAUGAAACCCCGCUGUUCUGGCGGUACCCAAAGAAGAAAGACCGGGUAACUUCGUU